UUUUUCUCUCUCCCCCCCGUUUUUCUCUACAUAGCGGAGGAAAAGAAACCAACCGGGAUUGCCUCAGUAACGGCGAGUGAAGCGGCAAGAGCUCAAAUUUGAAAUCUGGCCCCUCCGGGGUCCGAGUUGUAAUUUGCAGAGGAUGCUUCGGGUGCGGCCCCUGUCUAAGUGCCCUGGAACGGGCCGUCAGAGAGGGUGAGAAUCCCGUCUUGGGCAGGGUGCCCGUGCCCGUGUGAAGCUCCUUCGACGAGUCGAGUUGUUUGGGAAUGCAGCUCAAAAUGGGUGGUAAAUUUCAUCUAAAGCUAAAUACCGGCCGGAGACCGAUAGCGCACAAGUAGAGUGAUCGAAAGAUGAAAAGCACUUUGAAAAGAGAGUUAAACAGCACGUGAAAUUGUUGAAAGGGAAGCGCUUGCAACCAGACUCGGCCUCGGGGUUCAGCCAGCAUUCGUGCUGGUGUACUUCCCCGGGGCCGGGCCAGCGUCGGUUUGGGCGGCCGGUCAAAGGCCCCAGGAAUGUAUCGUCCUCCGGGACGUCUUAUAGCCUGGGGUGCAAUGCGGCCAGCCUGGACCGAGGAACGCGCUUCGGCACGGACGCUGGCGUAAUGGUCGCAAACGACCCGUCUUGAAACACGGACCAAGGAGUCUAACAUCUACGCGAGUGUUCGGGUGUCAAACCCGUACGCGCAGUGAAAGCGAACGGAGGUGGGAGCCCCCCCGGGGCGCACCAUCGACCGAUCCUGAUGUCUUCGGAUGGAUUUGAGUACGAGCGUAGCUGUGGGGACCCGAAAGAUGGUGAACUAUGCCUGAAUAGGGUGAAGCCAGAGGAAACUCUGGUGGAGGCUCGCAGCGGUUCUGACGUGCAAAUCGAUCGUCAAAUUUGGGUAUAGGGGCGAAAGACUAAUCGAACCAUCACAAGGCCUC
Molecule: ribosomal RNA, 920 nt
Filed under: Aspergillus protuberus
Lineage: Eukaryota; Fungi; Ascomycota; Eurotiomycetes; Eurotiales; Aspergillaceae
Description: eukaryotic LSU rRNA
Rfam family: Eukaryotic large subunit ribosomal RNA
Source: RNAcentral